GUACUCUCACACUCUACUAGUAGAGAAGUGGACUUGGGUGUUGCUGCUUUGCGGUGGCUCAUCUUAAAUAUGCUAGUGCAACUCAUGGUUGGAUAUAGUACAGCGUGAUAAGUAUCUUCGCUGGCGCCUCAUGAAGAGGGUAUCUGAUUGGGAGCUCUGUGCUUUCAAACCGUCUUCGGACAAUCCCUGACA
Molecule: unclassified non-coding RNA, 192 nt
Filed under: uncultured Sebacina
Lineage: Eukaryota; Fungi; Basidiomycota; Agaricomycetes; Sebacinales; Sebacinaceae
Description: sequence contains ITS2
Source: RNAcentral